GGCUCUGUGGCGCAAUGGAUAGCGCAUUGGACUUCUAGUCAAGUACAUGAAAAGUAAUUCAAAGGUUGUGGGUUCGAGUCCCACCAGAGUCG
Molecule: non-coding RNA, 92 nt
Organism: Takifugu rubripes (torafugu)
Lineage: Eukaryota; Metazoa; Chordata; Actinopteri; Tetraodontiformes; Tetraodontidae
Source: Rfam